RNAcentral lists this small nuclear RNA (326 nucleotides) under Castor canadensis (American beaver). RNAcentral describes it as "7SK RNA (ENSCCNG00000012493.1)". It matches the Rfam family "7SK RNA". From Rfam's summary of the family: 7SK was discovered as an abundant small nuclear RNA in the mid-70s but a possible function has only recently been suggested. Two independent studies have found that 7SK RNA binds the CDK9/cyclin T complex (known as elongation factor P-TEFb). P-TEFb activates transcription by phosphorylating the C-terminal domain of RNA polymerase II. Lineage: Eukaryota; Metazoa; Chordata; Mammalia; Rodentia; Castoridae. The record is from Rfam by way of RNAcentral.
GGAUGUGAGGGCGAUCUGGCUAUGACAUCUGUCACUCCAUUGAUUGCCAGGGUUGAUUUGGCUGAUCUGCUAGGAGGGUGUCCCUUUCCUCCCUCACCGCUCCAUGUACAUCCCUCCUGAAGCUGCGCGAUCAGUCAAAGAGGACGACCAUCCCUGAUAGAGGAGGACCGUUCUUCGGUCAAGGGUAUAUGAGUAGCUGCGCUCCCCUCCUAGAACCUCCAAACAAGUUCUCAAGGUCCAUUUGUAGGAGAAUGUAGGGUAGUCAAGCUUCCAAGACCCCAGACACAUCCAAAUGAGGCGAUGCACAUGGCAGUCUGCCUUUCUUU